This 2916-nucleotide ribosomal RNA is filed under the name Aeromonas hydrophila. RNAcentral's name for it is "23S ribosomal RNA". It matches the Rfam family "Bacterial large subunit ribosomal RNA". Lineage: Bacteria; Pseudomonadati; Pseudomonadota; Gammaproteobacteria; Aeromonadales; Aeromonadaceae. The record is from RNAcentral.
GUUGUAUGGUUAAGUGACUAAGCGUACAUGGUGGAUGCCUUGGCAGUCAGAGGCGAUGAAGGACGUACUAACCUGCGAUAAGCCGUGAGCAGUCGGUAAGAGACAUUACGACUCACGGAUUUCCGAAUGGGGAAACCCACUUAGCAUAAGCUAGGUAUCGCUACGUGAAUACAUAGCGUAGCGAGGCGAACCGGGAGAACUGAAACAUCUAAGUACCCCGAGGAAAAGAAAUCAACCGAGAUUCCCUCAGUAGCGGCGAGCGAACGGGGAUUAGCCCUUAAGCAUCUUGGAAGUUAGUGGAACGGUCCUGGAAAGGCCGGCGAUACAGGGUGAUAGCCCCGUACACGAAAACAACCUUGAUGUGAAAUCGAGUAGGGCGGGACACGUGACAUCCUGUCUGAAUAUGGGGGGACCAUCCUCCAAGGCUAAAUACUCCUGACUGACCGAUAGUGAACCAGUACCGUGAGGGAAAGGCGAAAAGAACCCCUGUGAGGGGAGUGAAAUAGAACCUGAAACCGUGUACGUACAAGCAGUGGGAGCCCUUCGGGGUGACUGCGUACCUUUUGUAUAAUGGGUCAGCGACUUACAUUUUGUAGCGAGGUUAACCGUAUAGGGGAGCCGUAGGGAAACCGAGUCUUAACUGGGCGUCUAGUUGCAAGGUGUAGACCCGAAACCGGGUGAUCUAGCCAUGGGCAGGUUGAAGGUUGAGUAACAUCAACUGGAGGACCGAACCCACUAACGUUGCAAAGUUAGGGGAUGACCUGUGGCUGGGGGUGAAAGGCCAAUCAAACUCGGAGAUAGCUGGUUCUCCCCGAAAGCUAUUUAGGUAGCGCCUCGGACGAAUACUACUGGGGGUAGAGCACUGUUUGGGCUAGGGGGUCAUCCCGACUUACCAACCCCAUGCAAACUCCGAAUACCAGUAAGUAAUAUCCGGGAGACACACGGCGGGUGCUAACGUCCGUCGUGAAGAGGGAAACAACCCAGACCGCCGGCUAAGGUCCCAAAGUUCUGGUUAAGUGGGAAACGAUGUGGGAAGGCUCAGACAGCUAGGAUGUUGGCUUAGAAGCAGCCAUCAUUUAAAGAAAGCGUAAUAGCUCACUAGUCGAGUCGGCCUGCGCGGAAGAUGUAACGGGGCUCAAACCAGGCACCGAAGCCGCGGAUUCACGCUAAGCGUGAGUGGUAGGGGAGCGUUCUGUAAGUCUGCGAAGGUGUAUCGAGAGGUAUGCUGGAGAUAUCAGAAGUGCGAAUGCUGACGUAAGUAACGAUAAAGGGGGUGAAAAGCCUCCUCGCCGGAAGACCAAGGGUUCCUGUCCAACGUUAAUCGGGGCAGGGUGAGUCGACCCCUAAGGCGAGGCCGAAAGGCGUAGUCGAUGGGAAGCAGGUUAAUAUUCCUGCACGACUUGUAAUUGCGAUGGGGGACGGAGAAGGCUAGGUGGGCCAGGCGACGGUUGUCCUGGUGAAAGUGCGUAGGUGGUGUUUCUAGGCAAAUCCGGAGACACAACACUGAGAUACGAGACGAACACACUACGGUGUGGAAGCCAUUGAUGCCCUGCUUCCAGGAAAAGCCUCUAAGCUUCAGAUUACAAGUCAUCGUACCCCAAACCGACACAGGUGGUCGGGUAGAGAAUACCAAGGCGCUUGAGAGAACUCGGGUGAAGGAACUAGGCAAAAUAGAACCGUAACUUCGGGAGAAGGUUCGCUCUUGACAGUGAAGUCCCUUGCGGAUGGAGCAGUUGGGAGUCGCAGUGACCAGAUGGCUGGGACUGUUUAUCAAAAACACAGCACUCUGCAAACACGAAAGUGGACGUAUAGGGUGUGACACCUGCCCGGUGCCGGAAGGUUAAUUGAUGGGGUUAGCGCAAGCGAAGCUCUUGAUCGAAGCCCCGGUAAACGGCGGCCGUAACUAUAACGGUCCUAAGGUAGCGAAAUUCCUUGUCGGGUAAGUUCCGACCUGCACGAAUGGUGUAACCAUGGCCAUGCUGUCUCCACCCGAGACUCAGUGAAAUCGAAUUCGCCGUGAAGAUGCGGUGUACCCGCGGCUAGACGGAAAGACCCCGUGAACCUUUACUACAGCUUGGCACUGAACAUUGAACCUACAUGUGUAGGAUAGGUGGGAGGCUUUGAAGGCGUGACGCCAGUUGCGCUGGAGCCGUCCUUGAAAUACCACCCUUGUAUGUUUGAUGUUCUAACGCAGGCCCGUGAAUCCGGGUCGCGGACAGUGCCUGGUGGGUAGUUUGACUGGGGCGGUCUCCUCCCAAAGAGUAACGGAGGAGCACGAAGGUUGGCUAAUCCUGGUCGGACAUCAGGAGGUUAGUGCAAUGGCAUAAGCCAGCUUAACUGCGAGACGGACAGGUCGAGCAGGUACGAAAGUAGGUCAUAGUGAUCCGGUGGUUCUGAAUGGAAGGGCCAUCGCUCAACGGAUAAAAGGUACUCCGGGGAUAACAGGCUGAUACCGCCCAAGAGUUCAUAUCGACGGCGGUGUUUGGCACCUCGAUGUCGGCUCAUCACAUCCUGGGGCUGAAGUCGGUCCCAAGGGUAUGGCUGUUCGCCAUUUAAAGUGGUACGCGAGCUGGGUUCAGAACGUCGUGAGACAGUUCGGUCCCUAUCUGCCGUGGGCGUUGGAUGAUUGAAGGGAGUUGCUCCUAGUACGAGAGGACCGGAGUGAACGAACCUCUGGUGUUCGGGUUGUCACGCCAGUGGCACUGCCCGGUAGCUAAGUUCGGAAUCGAUAACCGCUGAAAGCAUCUAAGCGGGAAGCGAGCCCUGAGAUGAGUCAUCCCUGACCCCUUGAGGGUCCUAAAGGGCCGUUGGAGACCACAACGUUGAUAGGUGGGGUGUGUAAGCGCGGCGACGUGUUGAGCUAACCCAUACUAAUUACCCGUGAGGCUUAACCAUACAACACCCAAGAAGUGUUCU